This 65-nucleotide transfer RNA is filed under the name Podarcis lilfordi (Lilford's wall lizard). RNAcentral describes it as "tRNA.Ala". It matches the Rfam family "tRNA". From Rfam's summary of the family: Transfer RNA (tRNA) molecules are approximately 80 nucleotides in length. The record is from RNAcentral. Lineage: Eukaryota; Metazoa; Chordata; Lepidosauria; Squamata; Lacertidae.
GGGCUCAGUGGCAGAGCAUCUGCUUGGCAUGCAGAAGGUCUUGGGUUCAAUUCCUGGCAUCUCCA